UUCUUAGAAUGGAGAAUUUCGAA
This 23-nucleotide small nuclear RNA is filed under the name Arabidopsis thaliana (thale cress). RNAcentral's name for it is "snRNA_07546". Lineage: Eukaryota; Viridiplantae; Streptophyta; Magnoliopsida; Brassicales; Brassicaceae. The record is from RNAcentral.